RNAcentral lists this small RNA (326 nucleotides) under Pongo abelii (Sumatran orangutan). Its description in RNAcentral is "processed transcript". Lineage: Eukaryota; Metazoa; Chordata; Mammalia; Primates; Hominidae. The record is from RNAcentral.
GCACGAUAGAGCACCAGGCUAAGAGGCACGAGAUCAAGGCGGUAGUCACUUCCGCUCUUCAGCUAGCAUUUCAACCAUAUGUGGGUCCUUUCAUUUCUCAGCUCUCUGGAUUCCUUCCCCUAAAUUAGGACCUAUUAUUUACCUGUAGCUGAAAUGUACCUCCUGGGGAACAUCAAAAGGAGUCCAUUCUCCAGGAGAGACCAGCAGGCCCAGAUGGAGGGCCUCCCUGACUUUGUCAGGAGCAAGAGACAUACUAUGGAGGAGAAGGUGAUCAAGGCCUGCAUCAUACCCACAGAAAUAAAAUAAAGCCCUCACCCUUUCCUGUG